This 497-nucleotide ribosomal RNA is filed under the name uncultured bacterium. RNAcentral's name for it is "partial 16S ribosomal RNA". It matches the Rfam family "Bacterial small subunit ribosomal RNA", at positions 28 to 507 of the family's 1533-position model. The record is from RNAcentral.
GACGAACGCUGGCGGCGUGCCUAAUACAUGCAAGUUGAGCGCUGAAGGUUGGUACUUGUACCAACUGGAUGAGCAGCGAACGGGUGAGUAACGCGUGGGGAAUCUGCCUUUGAGCGGGGGACAACAUUUGGAAACGAAUGCUAAUACCGCAUAAAAACUUUAAACACAAGUUUUAAGUUUGAAAGAUGCAAUUGCAUCACUCAAAGAUGAUCCCGCGUUGUAUUAGCUAGUUGGUGAGGUAAAGGCUCACCAAGGCGAUGAUACAUAGCCGACCUGAGAGGGUGAUCGGCCACAUUGGGACUGAGACACGGCCCAAACUCCUACGGGAGGCAGCAGUAGGGAAUCUUUGGCAAUGGACGAAAGUCUGACCGAGCAACGCCGCGUGAGUGAAGAAGGUUUUCGGAUCGUAAAACUCUGUUGGUAGAGAAGAACGUUGGUGAGAGUGGAAAGCUCAUCAAGUGACGGUAACUACCCAGAAAGGGACGGCUAACUACGUG